This 549-nucleotide ribosomal RNA is filed under the name uncultured bacterium. RNAcentral describes it as "bacterial SSU rRNA". It matches the Rfam family "Bacterial small subunit ribosomal RNA", at positions 343 to 905 of the family's 1533-position model. The record is from RNAcentral.
GGGAGGCAGCAGUGGGGAAUUUUCCGCAAUGGGCGAAAGCCUGACGGAGCAAUACCGCGUGAGGGAUGACUGCCUAUGGGUUGUAAACCUCUUUUUUCAGGGAGGAAUAAAUGACGUGUACCUGAAGAAUAAGCAUCGGCUAACUCCGUGCCAGCAGCCGCGGUAAGACGGAGGAUGCAAGUGUUAUCCGGAAUCACUGGGCGUAAAGCGUCUGUAGGUGGUUUAAUAAGUCAGCUGUUAAAUCUUGAGGCUCAACCUCAAAAUCGCAGUCGAAACUAUUAGACUAGAGUAUAGUAGGGGUAAAGGGAAUUUCCAGUGGAGCGGUGAAAUGCGUAGAGAUUGGAAAGAACACCAAUGGCGAAGGCACUUUACUGGGCUAUUACUAACACUCAGAGACGAAAGCUAGGGUAGCAAAUGGGAUUAGAUACCCCAGUAGUCCUAGCCGUAAACAAUGGAUACUAGAUGUUGAACAGAUCGACCUGUGCAGUAUCAAAGCUAACGCGUUAAGUAUCCCGCCUGGGAAGUAUGCUCGCAAGAGUGAAACUCAAA